This 468-nucleotide ribosomal RNA is filed under the name uncultured bacterium. RNAcentral's name for it is "partial 16S ribosomal RNA". It matches the Rfam family "Bacterial small subunit ribosomal RNA", at positions 28 to 507 of the family's 1533-position model. The record is from RNAcentral.
GACGAACGCUGGCGGCGUGCUUAACACAUGCAAGUCGAACGGUGAAGCUCCAGCUUGCUGGAGUGGAUCAGUGGCGAACGGGUGAGUAACACGUGAGCAACCUGCCCCAGACUCUGGAAUAAGCGCUGGAAACGGCGUCUAAUACUGGAUACGAGAUCAAGCCGCAUGGUUAUGGUCUAGAAAGUUUUUCGGUUUGGGAUGGGCUCGCGGCCUAUCAGCUUGUUGGUGAGGUAAUGGCUCACCAAGGCGACGACGGGUAGCCGGCCUGAGAGGGCGACCGGCCACACUGGGACUGAGACACGGCCCAGACUCCUACGGGAGGCAGCAGUGGGGAAUAUUGCACAAUGGGCGAAAGCCUGAUGCAGCGACGCCGCGUGAGGGAUGACGGCCUUCGGGUUGUAAACCUCUUUCAGCAGGGAAGAAGCGAAAGUGACGGUACCUGCAGAAGAAGCACCGGCUAACUACGUG